This 253-nucleotide ribosomal RNA is filed under the name uncultured bacterium. Its description in RNAcentral is "partial 16S ribosomal RNA". It matches the Rfam family "Bacterial small subunit ribosomal RNA", at positions 524 to 776 of the family's 1533-position model. The record is from RNAcentral.
UACGUAGGGGGCAAGCGUUGUCCGGAAUUCUUGGGCGUAAAGAGCGUGUAGGCGGCCAGAUAAGUCCGCUGUGAAAUCUCGAGGCUCAACUUCGAGCUGUCGGUGGAAACUAUCUGGCUAGAGUCCGGAAGAGGAGAAUGGAAUUCCUGGUGUAGCGGUGAAAUGCGCAGAUAUCAGGAAGAACACCCGUGGCGAAAGCGGCUCUCUGGGACGGUACUGACGCUGAGACGCGAAAGCGUGGGGAGCAAACAGG